Molecule: long non-coding RNA, 2360 nt
Organism: Prinia subflava (tawny-flanked prinia)
Lineage: Eukaryota; Metazoa; Chordata; Aves; Passeriformes; Cisticolidae
Exons: 4
Source: RefSeq, a predicted model, not a curated record
GCUGUGCGUGCGGCGCAUUCUCCCCAGGAUUAGCCCUGCAAGGAAUGCGGUGCCGGAGGAAUGGCGCAACCUGAAACCCUCGGUCUGAUACAGCCUGAAAAACCGGGCGGGUUGUGGCAGCUCUGACAGUGGCGUGACCCCCGAGUCCCAGGCUGGGGGUCAUGGGAAUACUUUCUGAGGUGUUUGGACUCGGAGCACCCGGACUGGAGCACAGGCCUUGCAUACUGCAUGGCUGCGGUGGAAGCAGCAUCCCCCAAGAGCAAAGGACCUCAGGCCACAUUUUGUGUUGCGUGAUUGUCCAAGGAAAGAAAAGCACUGAACAUUGAGUUUUCCCUUACUCACUCUUACAAGUGUUCACAGGCAUGGAGAGGUCUGUGCCCAAGCAGUCUGGUCAAGAUCACUUGGAAUGGUACAGUGGAUCAGGGACACCAGGUAUCAAGUUUUUCAUUGAGUCUCCUGCAGCCCCUGUUGGCGAUACCUCUUGGACUGCUACGAGAAUCCUGUGAAAUGCCAUUAAAGGAGCUCAGAAAAAAUCCAACUGGAAGACAUCCUUGGUGGUCCCUGUUCUAACAAUCUGCUCCAAGCAUGGCUGACCACAAAGCUAGAUCAGGUUAUCUCCAAUGAUGAAGAGCCCACCAUCUCUCUGGGCCAUGUCCAAGAACUGCACCGUGCUUGUGUGAUGAUUUCAUCUCUGUCUUCUCAAAUAUUGUCUUGGAUUGAAUCUAAUUCAGGAUGCUGUCUGAUCAGUGCCAUCAAGCAGUGGAGAGGCAUUUCCCUCCACUGGCUUUCAAGGACCACCUAGGCCCUGCUCAGCCACCAGAUUCACAGCUGACAUGCCUUGCUGUCCUCCAGGACUGCAUCCCUUCUGUCCAGACAGAGGGCCUCAUUCACAGCUGGGCUUCUCGCAGCCGUGGGCAGGACACACCCUUUGCUCAGGCUGUGAUCUAGGAGGUUCAUGGCACCCCAUUUCUGCAGCCUGUUGAGGCCCCUCUGAGGGGCUGUGUUCUCCUCCAGCUGCUCCCCCAGUGUGGAACAAUCUCCAGUGCCCUGCAUCUCCUCUUCUAUGUUGUUGCUAAAGAUGUUAAAAAUGUUGGCCUGGUAUUAACCCCUGAGAAAUGGCACAUGUAGCUGUCUGCGAGCAACUCUUACUGAUGGACCUCUCUCCUGAACCUGACAGCCCAUCCAGUUUUCCACUCAUUUAACAGUUCACGUGUGAAAUACAUAAUUUCAUUUGUUUACCUUCAAAAGUAAUGAUCAAAAACUCCAAAAUAACUUUUACCAGAAGAUUUCCCUUCCUAAAACAUCAUCAUGUGCAGACAGUAACUUUGGUUUUGUCAGUUUGAUCCCUUGGUGCUGGCCUAGCCUAGGGAUCAGCACGUUGGUUUUGUGUCUGCCAUCUGAAUACCCUAUUAUUGUAAUAAACUACACUCAUUCAUCAUUUUAUACUAAUUAAUAAUAGAAGGGGUUUGUCAUAUGUGAAAACUAGCAGGGAAGUCCAUCUUUUGUAAACUUGUAGAGUUACAAAGUUCAUGUAUUGUUGAUCAGACAAUAAAAUAGAUAUUGUGAAGGAAAGGGACUGACAGUGCCCUGUAAACAUAGUUUUACUAAUUAGAAAAAAAGCAGCAGUGAUGCUUUUAUUAUCUUGGGACAAAAAGUGAGCUACUGGAAGGAGUUACAGGCAGCAAUGAAACAUGGCUUUAUCUGCAGGUUGGGUGUGCUUUAAUCUGACAUCCUGUAUGACAAUGCUGUAUGGUGAGUAAUACCUAGAGCAUGUCUGCCAAAGCUCUAGAGCCAAAGCACAGAGUCUACCUGUCACUCCAAAAAGGUCCUAAUGAAUAGCAGGACACUAAUCCCUCAGGCACCACAUUGCCUGAUGCAUCUGUUUGCUACAGUAGGGAGGAGAUGAUGCUUCCUUUCAGAUUACUGCAGGUGUGGAGCUCCCACACACAGAGAAAAAAGCACCGCUGCUGAAGCAUUCAGUAAUGGAAAGUAACAUGCUUUAACUUACAGGACACUUGGAAUCCACUGUUUCAGAACUAAAACUUACUCACCUUUCUCAGGAUGACCCCAUACCUCCCUGCAUUUCGAAGUUUGCUUUGCUAUGAUGAAGUAUUAAGUGAGAAGCUUGGACAUUCUCUGCAUGCUUCCCUAAAACCUUAUCUGUUUUUAUAGAAAAAAAAAGUUUAACUGACAAAUCCAUGAAUAGCUCAUAUAACUAGUGAACACUGUUAUUAUAUCGGAACCAAUAAACACCUUUUCCAAAUGACAUCCAUGAAAAUUUUUAGUUUUACUUUACAGGAAAUAUAUCUGGAAUUGUUUUUACAUCACAAUAAAAAUUAAGAGAAGAUGCUACCUCUGAA